RNAcentral lists this ribosomal RNA (493 nucleotides) under uncultured bacterium. RNAcentral's name for it is "bacterial SSU rRNA". It matches the Rfam family "Bacterial small subunit ribosomal RNA", at positions 903 to 1397 of the family's 1533-position model. The record is from RNAcentral.
AAAGGAAUUGACGGGGACCCGCACAAGCAGCGGAGCAUGUGGUUUAAUUCGAAGCAACGCGAAGAACCUUACCAAGGCUUGACAUCCCUUGACCGUCAUGGAAACAUGGCUUCCCUUCGGGGCAAGGAGACAGGUGGUGCAUGGUUGUCGUCAGCUCGUGUCGUGAGAUGUUGGGUUAAGUCCCGCAACGAGCGCAACCCUUGUCAUUAGUUGCCAGCGCGUGAUGGCGGGAACUCUAAUGAGACUGCCGGGGAUAACUCGGAGGAAGGUGGGGACGACGUCAAAUCAUCAUGCCCCUUAUGUCUUGGGCUACACACGUGCUACAAUGGCCGGUACAGAGGGCAGCGAAACCGUAAGGCGGAGCGAAUCCCAAAAAGCCGGUCUCAGUUCGGAUCGUGGGCUGCAACCCGCCCACGUGAAGCCGGAGUUGCUAGUAAUCGCGAAUCAGCAUGUCGCGGUGAAUGCGUUCCCGGGUCUUGUACACACCGCCCGU